AACAGAGAAGUAAUAUAAUACAUUUAGUUUCGACCUAAAAAUAGAGUCUAAACCCUCCAUGUUU
RNAcentral lists this transfer RNA (64 nucleotides) under Kapsa arca. RNAcentral describes it as "tRNA-Arg". The record is from RNAcentral. Lineage: Eukaryota; Metazoa; Arthropoda; Insecta; Hemiptera; Cicadellidae.